Molecule: non-coding RNA, 1191 nt
Organism: Triticum urartu
Lineage: Eukaryota; Viridiplantae; Streptophyta; Magnoliopsida; Poales; Poaceae
Source: RefSeq, a predicted model, not a curated record
CCAACCACUCGACCGCAGCGCCGGCUUCCUCCCCAAACACAGUCGCCGCCGACCGCCUAGUCGUCGUCGAGCACCCUUCACCGCCUCGUCCCCAUCCCCCGCGCACCCAGCGCCUACUUCCUCCUGAGGAAUGCCGCCGACCGCCCUCCAUCCCCACCACAACAGCGACCUCCUCCACAGGUUUCCUCCCCCGAGCAGGCCUCCUCCUCCUCAAGCUUUCUCCCUCGAGCAAGGCCUCCUCCUCCACGAGCAUCCUUACACGAGCACUAAGUUGGGCUGCCUCCUGGUUCCCUCACCCGAGCAGCGGACCUUCCUGUACGGCCCCUCUCCCGAGAAGCUCCACCUCCUCUACAUCCUCCCCUAGCUGAGAAUGACUUAUAAGUUCAUGGCAAAAGUAGCAACAUCAGUACGUAACCACAAGCAAGCUGAGGGGUUAUUUCUAGACAAAGCUUUAGGAACCGAGUUCACUACAACUCGAAGUCUUGUGCACGGAGGAGAAUUGAGAUAUUUGCGCAUUCUGUACUAGUCAAAAGGUAUGUGUAGAUAUUCUGCUCAUUCUAGUUCAUGCUGCUACUUUAUUAAGGUCUUCUUUUAUGAGCCUCUACCUUCUGCAAAUAAUACGAUUAUUUAGUAGCCUGGUUUCAUAGCUUUGAAUCUCAUGUGAAUAAACUAUAUGUCUAGGUGUUUGCUGUUCUUUGCUUAACUAGAUAUCGAAGUAUAGACAACAAGCUCAUGUACAAGAUGGCAAUUAUGAUGGUUAUUUAGUUUACUUCAUUGGUUCUCAGCAUAUUAAUUGAUUGUAACGUUCUAGCUUUAUUUAAUAAGAAGAUGUAAAAGAAACAACAAGUAAUCUCCAUUUUUUGUUCUACAAUAUAGAUAGUUUACCAAGCUUAUUAACUUAUAGCAGAUCUACUAUCUUCUCCUUUCAGGUUGGCAUCAUGGUUGGAAGAUCUUGUGUGCUACUCUCUACACGAUGUUUCUUCUACAUGAUAGCACUUGACGUCUACAUGAUAGCACUUGAAGUCUACAUGAUGUUUCUUGUAUUCAUAGCUCAAACCAUUUGUUUAGCUUAGUUUGAACAAAAACUAUUAUUGUCUUACAUGUAAAUAAUGUUUACUAAUGUAGCUGGAUGCUACUGAACGCAUGUACGAAAGUCAAAAUACUAAGUGUUAGUCAUUAUGUGUUUGAGAA